RNAcentral lists this ribosomal RNA (440 nucleotides) under uncultured bacterium. Its description in RNAcentral is "partial 16S ribosomal RNA". It matches the Rfam family "Bacterial small subunit ribosomal RNA", at positions 338 to 795 of the family's 1533-position model. The record is from RNAcentral.
CCUACGGGUGGCAGCAGUGGGGAAUAUUUCACAAUGGGGGAAACCCUGAUGCAGCGACGUCGCGUGAGUGAUGAAGUAUUUCGGUAUGUAAAGCUCUAGCAGCAGGGAAGAAAAUGACGGUACCUGACUAAGAAGCCCCGGCUAACUAGGUGCCAGCAGCCGCGGUAAGACGGAGGGGGCAAGCGUUAUCCGGAUUUACUGGGUGUAAAGGGAGCGUAGACGGCGGUGCAAGCCAGAUGUGAAAGGCCGGGGCUCAACCCCGGGACUGCAUUUGGAACUGUGCUGCUAGAGUGUCGGAGAGGCAGGCGGAAUUCUUGGUGUAGCGGUGAAAUGCGUAGAUAUUAGGAGGAACACCAGUGGCGAAGGCGGCCUGCUGGACGAUGACUGACGUUGAGGCUCGAAAGCGUGGGGAGCGAACAGGAUUAGAUACCCCAGUAGUC